CAGGACCACUUAAACUGUUAAAGCUUUCCUCUUACAUCUUCAGUGAGUUUAAGUAUCAGUGCAUUCAGUUCCUGAUUAUCUAGUGAUCCUAUCAUGUUUUUUAACUUAAAGCAUGUAAUGGAUGAAUUCCUAGAGGGUGUUCCAGUGGUCAAAUGCCCCCAUGGGCUGAUCCAUGACCAGGCUUCAUGGUGGAUAAGGGCCUGAUCAACCAGACUCUUACUGCUGGCCACAUGAAAUCCAGCAUAUGAAUGAAGACUUACGACAUUAAAAUUUAAUUAGGAAAGGCAUUUGCAUAUCUUACUAUCUGAGGGGAUACUCAAAGCACAAAUGAUUGGGCUUUGGCUGAUAGUAGUCAAAUUACCAAUGCCCAAAAUGCAAACUUAAUUUAGUGAAAUUUUAAUAUAAAAAUUACGAAUCUUGCUUUUUCUUUCAGUCUUGCUUUGUAAAAGUGAGUAGACACUAAAAUGGGAAGUAAGAAUUAUAAUUUUUAUCUCUGUUGCCAUUGGUAUAACUUUUGAAUCCAUGAAGAACAAAAAGGCACAAUUCGGUGACUGGAACAAUAUACAAAUAACCUCCACACAGGAGAAAGAAGCUUCUCCUUUGUGUGGGUUAAUUAUGUAUUUUGUUUUGAAUGUAUCACUAAAGGUAAGUUACCUUCUCAUUAAUUAAUAUUUAUAUAUCUAUGUUUUGUGCAUAAAUAUAUGGAUAUUCUGAAAAUCAUUACUGGUACUAGAUUUAAAGAAUAAAACUACUAAAAUAUACAGUGGGAUAAUAAGGAAGGAGAUAACCAGGAACUGAGUGUUCUUCCAAUAAUCUGAACUUGAUUACAUAGCACUAACUGCUUCACAUUUUCCUAAGAGUAUCUUGGCUUUAACUUAUUUCUAAAAAAAAAUUUUAAAGAACACUGCAUGGAACACCAUUAAUGGUAUUUCAUUCUUUGGUUUAAUUAUUUUUAUUCUUUAUUCAUUUUAACAUUAAAAUACAUGCUGUACCAUGACAAUAGAAAUUAUCUUUUCAGAACAUUUACUACACUUACUGUAUCAAAAAAUCCAUAGCAUCAUACACAUAUAAAUCUGAAAUUGUGCUGUACAGCAGGCUACUUUAUAUAUUAGUAAUGACCAACUUUAUGUGCAUUUUAUGCAUAAUUUUGAGGGUACAGGUUAUUUUCAGCAUACCUUGCUUUUGUUACUCAAUUUUUGUUUCCAAAUAUUAUUAACUGGUAAAUUUUAGCUCAUAAACACAUAAAUUAUUUAAAAUAAUUUAUGUGGUGAAAUAUGGUAUUGUUAAACAACAAAAAAAGGCACAAUACCGUGACUGGAAUGAUACACAAAUAACCCGCACAUAGAAGAGAGGAGCUUACGACGACGUUUCGGUCCAACUUGGACCAUUUACAAAGUCACACUAAUGAUCAGUAGAGCAGGAUGGGUAUAUAUAUGUAUAGGCAGGAAGAGGUGGUGGUGGUGGUGGUGGUGGUGGUGGUGUAGUAGUAGUAGUAGUAGUAGUAGUAGUAGUAGUAGUAGUAGUAGUAGUAGUGGUAGUAGCAGUAGUGGUGGUGGUAGUAGUAGUAGUGGUAGUAGUAGUAGUGGUGGUGGUGGUAGUAGUAGUAGUAGUGGUAGUAGUAGUAAUGCUAGUAGUGGUAGUAGAAGUAGUGGUAGUAGUAGUGGUGGUAGUAGUAGUGGGUAGUAGUAGUGGUAGUAGUAGUGGUAGUAGUAGCAGUGGUAGUAGUGGUAGUAGUAGUGGUGGUAGUAGUGGUAGUAUUGGUGGUAGUAGUAGAAGUGGUAGUAGUGGUAGUAGUAGUGGUAGUAGUAGUGGUAGUAGUAGUGGUGGUAGUAGUGGUGGUAGUAGUAGUAGUAGUAUUGGUAGUAGUAGUGGUGGUGGUAGUAGUGGUAGUAGUGGUGGUAGUAGUGGUGGUAGUAGUGGUAGUAGUAGUGGUAGUAAUGGUGGUAGUAAUAGUAGUAGUAGCAGUGGUAGUGGUAGUAGUAGUAGUGGGGAAUAAGGAGGACGAGCCAGUCAAAUACAAGGAAAGGGGAGCACUGCAAGGAAGCUAGGUGCCCACAGAGGGAGAGCAAGUACACAGAGGUAGGGAAGAAGGGGAAGUGAUGAAAUGAAUAAUGAAGGAGCAGAAACACAAAACACAAGAAAGACAACCCAGAGGAGAAAAAGGGAAAGAGGAAAGGGGAAGAGGGAGAAGAAAAAAGGAGGAGGAAUCAGGUUAAGUCACGGGUGUUCUGAAGUUUGGAGCAUUUUACAAUGUAGUGGGAGAGGAAGGCAUCUACAGAGACAAAGCCGGUCCAAAUUGGACCGAAACGUCGUUGUAAGCUCCUCUCUUCUAUGUGCGGGUUAUUUGUGUAUGGUAUUGUUAAUUAAAUUCACUAUGUAGUAGAUAUUUACUUUUUUAUUUGUCUAAAUACUGAACCAUUAUAAUUCAUGCCUGUUUCUGUGCACAAAAUAUUUUAAGGUUAUUGUUUUAGCUUCAACUUUUAUAGAAAAUCAAGUGUAAUGGAACAAAAGCAUCUGUACCCAGUUCAUAUCUUUAAAAGUACAGAACUUUAAGUUAUCUGUCUUGUUCAUUAUGCUUAUACAGUACAUGCACUGUAUUUAGUAUACAGUAUAUCAGCUGUAGUUAUAAAAUCAAACAUAUAAAUUCUUACAUGAAUUUUACUUUAUUUCUAUUAAUAUUAUUUCUGUUUUCUAACUUCCAUUAUUGACUGGAAAAAAUUAUUAUUUAUUGACAUUUAUUCACCACAGCUUGAAAUUUAUACUGCACAGGACAUUUAUAUAUACAUGUAUAUAUAUAUAUAUAUACAAUAUUAAAUAUUUAAUUAUUUCCAUUUAUUUGAAGAUUUUUUUUUUUCAGUUUUAAAGGGUAUUUUUUUCAGGAUUUAUUUUCAUGUCACAUGUACAGUACACUAAUAUUCUUAGGUUGUUGACACAUUACUGUGGUACAAUAUUAUACACUACAAAACACAGUUCAUAUAUAAAGGCACACUUAAUAUAUUCUUGAAGCUCAGACUGCAGAAAAUAUUAAAAACCUGUAAGUGUUACAGCAGAAAAAGGUGGACUACUGUGAGCAUAAACUUUUUUCAUUUAACUACAGAUAAGUAAUUUAUAAACACAAACACAUGUAUAUAUACAUGCAAAUGCACACAUAUAUACAAAGCUACAGAAUAUGCAAAAAAAAAAAAAUCAGAUUGCAGGUUAGCAGUAGCUUCUAAGCAAAAUCAUCCAAACAAAGAUAUAGCUUGUACUUUA
Molecule: non-coding RNA, 3252 nt
Organism: Cherax quadricarinatus
Lineage: Eukaryota; Metazoa; Arthropoda; Malacostraca; Decapoda; Parastacidae
Source: RefSeq, a predicted model, not a curated record